This 623-nucleotide ribosomal RNA is filed under the name uncultured bacterium. RNAcentral describes it as "bacterial SSU rRNA". It matches the Rfam family "Bacterial small subunit ribosomal RNA", at positions 51 to 656 of the family's 1533-position model. The record is from RNAcentral.
ACACAUGCAGUCGAACGGCAGCAGCAUAAACAAUCCCUUCGGGGUGCGUUUUUGGCUGGCGAGUGGCGGACGGGUGAGUAAUACAUAGGAAACUGCCCAGUAGCGGGGGAUAGCCCGGGGAAACUCGGAUUAAUACCGCAUACGCCCUACGGGGGAAAGCGGGGUUUCGGCCUCGCACUAUUGGAUGUGCCUAUGUCUGAUUAGCUUGUUGGUAGGGUAACGGCCUACCAAGGCAACGAUCAGUAGCUGGUUUGAGAGGACGAUCAGCCACACCGGAACUGAGACACGGUCCGGACUCCUACGGGAGGCAGCAGUGGGGAAUAUUGGACAAUGGGGGCAACCCUGAUCCAGCAAUGCCGCGUGUGUGAAGAAGGCCUGCGGGUUGUAAAGCACUUUCAGUUGGGAAGAAAAUCUUGGUAUUAAUACCACCAAGCCUUGACAUCACCAACAGAAGAAGCACCGGCUAACUCCGUGCCAGCAGCCGCGGUAAUACGGAGGGUGCAAGCGUUAAUCGGAAUUACUGGGCGUAAAGAGCACGUAGGUGGCUUGUCAAGUCAGUUGUGAAAGCCCUGGGCUUAACCUGGGAAUUGCAGCUGAUACUGGCUGACUAGAGUGUAGUAGAG